UGGGGAAUUUUGGACAAUGGGCGCAAGCCUGAUCCAGCAAUGCCGCGUGCAGGAUGAAGGCCUUCGGGUUGUAAACUGCUCUUGUACGGAGCGAAAAGGUCUGCCCUAAUACGGUGGGCUCAUGGCGGUACCGUAAGAAUAAGCACCGGCUAACUACGUGCCAGCAGCCGCGGUAAUACGUAGGGUGCAAGCGUUAAUCGGAAUUACUGGGCGUAAAGCGUGCGCAGGCGGUUACGCAAGACAGAGGUGAAAUCCCCGGGCUCAACCUGGGAACUGCGCUUGUGACUGCUAAGCUAGAGUACGGCAGGGGGGGGUGGAAUUCCACGUGUAGCAGUGAAAUGCGUAGAGAUGUGGAGGAACACCAGUGGCGGAGGCAGCCCCCUGGGUCGAUACUGACGCUCAUGCACGAAAGCGUGGGUAGCAAACA
RNAcentral lists this ribosomal RNA (427 nucleotides) under uncultured bacterium. RNAcentral's name for it is "bacterial SSU rRNA". It matches the Rfam family "Bacterial small subunit ribosomal RNA", at positions 355 to 774 of the family's 1533-position model. The record is from RNAcentral.